CCCGAUUACUUCAUGUUUCUACAAUGCCAGGAAACUGUUUAUAACGGCACAUCCUCCAUCCUUCUUUCGGUAAGAACACUUUACAUGAUUUUGGUGAUAAACCAUAGAUUAUGAUAAUUUUAGGACUCAAUGCUAGUAAGAAUUAGAUGACCUCAUUCUGGCAUGCCAGCGUUCCACUGGACUGAAGGGUUUUAAGGUGCUCAAGGUUUGAUUUGGGGACAUAUACUGUUGAAUAUGUUUAUGUACUGCUGAGCUGCAUCACUGUGAGGUAUGGUAUUUUCACAGCUACGCUAACCAAAUAUGUAGAAAGUAUGUUUCUGGGCGACAUUUGACAAAAAAAUUCAGGCCCCAUUCAAAAACAUGACAAAAUCUGCCUUUUUAAUUUGCUAAACAUGGCAAAGGUCAAUCUGUUUCUCUGCCAGAGCAACACUGCAUGUUUCUAUCCCUAGCAGGCUCCACUAUUGCAACCCUGUUACACAAAAAGUGUAGACUCUUUAUAAAAUGUAAACAAAAACACAACACAUUUGAAUUGGAUGCCAGCAAAAUGUUUCAAAAAAGCUGGGACAGAGGCAACAAAAGGCUGGAAAAGUUGUGUAUUGCAAGAAAGAGGAUGAGUCACCCAAAGAGGAUGAGUCACCCAAAGAGGAUGAGUUUUUCAGAAGUAAAGAUGGUGAGGGCAACUGCACCGGCAAAUAGUGCAACAAUUUAAGAUACAUAAAAUUACAAAAAAGUUUGGAGAUCUCAUCAUCUGCCGUACAUAAUAUCAUUAAAAGACCAUAGGUUUUUAAUGCAGCACAUAACUGAAGGUAAAGAAAAAAAGAAAUAACAGGUAAAUUAAAUGUAUGUUGUAGAUCCAUAAAAGCACAUAAUCCUUUUUGCUCCAUUGGGAAUAUGUAAUUGGUCUCCUUCCUAUUAGGAGAUUAUAAUUUCGGAAACAAUUGUGUACGGAAAUGCCAGAUAACAUUGGAAUUGGUCUGCCUCAUUAUUAAUUUCCAAGUAGAUAAAACAAUAGAAAUAAUAGGUCCAUAAUGGAGUCGAGCAUGCUUAAAUUCACCAGUUGGCCAGAUAGUUUCAGUGGUCACGUAAGUCAAAAUAAUUUCACAUUUUUCCUGAGAGUAGAAAGAUAGCUGAUUUGUACAGCAUAUACAAUGCACACAGUACACACACAUACAUACACACACAUUACUACCUGUGGGCAGCCAACUAGAAUGGAACAAGAGGGCUUUUAAAUGCACUACCAAAAUCACAUGACAAUGAAUUUAACCAAUUACAUUUUCUGCUGUUGUAAAAAAUUCAUGUUUUCAUACCUGGGACAUACACAGAACUACACAGCACUACCCUCAACCAAACUGGCACUUUCAAUCUCAGCAUCAAUGACACCAUUGUUUCUGGUUCAGAACUCUGCAGCCAGACUACUGACUCACACCAAGUCCCAGCAGCACAUCACCCCUAACCUCUACUACAGGAAGAAACAACAAUGAGAACAACAGGAAGUGUGUUGGUGGUCGUUAUCUGGUCUGUGACAGGAACUAUGGCAACAGAAUGUGGACAAACAAGCCAAGUGACGGUGUCUCCCACCAACCCAGUGUGGGGACAGGAAGUGAUAGUGUCCUGUAACGACCCCUGUAGUCUGAUUGACAACCAAAACCACACCUACAUCUGGUACAAGAACGGACACCUAGUCGAUUCCUCCAUCCAGCAAUUCAAUGACACCAGUUUUUAUACAACCAGUUACUCCUGUGCUGUAGAUGGUUCUGAGGAUCUCCACUCUCCUGUAGUUUGUGUUGUUGGUUCAAACUGUAUCAAUGUGACUUACACUUAUCAGAGAAUAAUUGCCCCAAAGGGCUCAACUGUGGAUCUUCCCUGCACAUACCAACAUCCAAAUGAGCACACAGUCAUAGAAAUUAACUGGUAUAUCCAAGGAGAACGUGAUGAGGGACCAACAAACCUGAGUUCAUUGCCAGAGUAUUCAGGUCGUGUGAAGUACCUUGGAGAUAAUGUGCGUGACUGUACCCUGAGAAUCACAGACCUGAGAGAGACUGACUCAGCUGAGUACAAGUUCAGAUUUAAAACACCGUAUGGAGAGUGGGGGUACAGCUUCCCUGGAACAACUCUGACUGUAACAGGAAUAGGACAUGCUCUCCUGUCUCCCUGGGUCCCCGUGGUUACAGUGGGGGCCGUCCUCACUGUUGCAGUUCUUCUAGUCACCAUCUACUGUACCAUGAGGAGGAGAUCUACAGGAGGAAGUGACGCUACAACAGACCCACAGACCCCCACAUUGACCAACCAACACAUAUAUGCUGAGUCAUCUGUUUAUGAGAACUUAAGAUAACCACCACAGAAACUGGACUGAAGAGAACCACCACAGAACCUGGACUGAAGAGAACCACCACAGAACCUGGACUGAAGAGAACCACCACAAAACAUGGACUAUGGCACCAAAGCUAAGUCUCUAUUGUUACUGUGUUGCCACAGUGUUUCCAGACAAAUUCAAACUUUAGACUAUAUUCUGUAGUUGAUAUAUUUGUCCUUGUAAUGACAAUGUUCUAUGCAAACAUCUGUUGUAAUAAAUUACAUUAUAUAUGUUCUUCUCUGUUUAGGUAUGUAUCAAAUGUGUUUGAUUAUGAUUCAGCUUUUGUUGUGAUUUUUGCCAUUCAUAUAUUCCUUUAGCUCUUUAGAGAUUGAUAUGGAUAAUACUGAUAACAGAAUUAAAUAUUGUUUGUUCCUGGACCACGUGCUAUUGAUUUGUUCACUGAUUUCAGGCAGACAUAUUUAUUAUAGUAAAAUGCCAAAU
Long non-coding RNA from Esox lucius (northern pike), 2794 nucleotides. NCBI's taxonomy places the organism in Eukaryota, Metazoa, Chordata, Actinopteri, Esociformes, Esocidae. The record is from Ensembl.